AGCGAACGCUGGCGGCAGGCUUAACACAUGCAAGUCGAGCGGGCACUUUCGGGUGUCAGCGGCGGACGGGUGAGUAACGCGUGGGAACGUGCCCUCUGGUUCGGAAUAACUCAGGGAAACUUGAGCUAAUACCGGAUACGCCCUUUUGGGGAAAGGCUUGCUGCCGGAGGAUCGGCCCGCGUCUGAUUAGCUAGUUGGUGAGGUAACGGCUCACCAAGGCGACGAUCAGUAGCUGGUCUGAGAGGAUGAUCAGCCACACUGGGACUGAGGCACGGCCCAGCCCCCUCGGGAGGGCACAGUUGGGAAUAUUGGACAAUGGGCGCAAGCCCGAUCCAGCCAUGCCGCGUGAGUGAUGAAGGCCUUAGGGUUGGAAAGCUCUUUUAUCCGGGACGAUAAUGACGGUACCGGAGGAAUAAGCCCCGGCUAACUUCGUG
RNAcentral lists this ribosomal RNA (434 nucleotides) under uncultured bacterium. RNAcentral describes it as "partial 16S ribosomal RNA". It matches the Rfam family "Bacterial small subunit ribosomal RNA", at positions 29 to 507 of the family's 1533-position model. The record is from RNAcentral.